GUGGGUUCAGUGAAGCAAUUACUCAAGCGUGUGCUGUAGAAUAAUUAAGAGUGCGACAUUUUGCGGUCUUUCGAGCGGAGAAAAAAUUAUUUCCCUUCAUCGAUUUUAAUUGACAAAAAAUCCAUCGAUCUCUGGUGCAAGAGAUUAAGAAGCUCUUACAUUUUUGCAAUUAUCUCGGUCAUGCGUGAUUUUGGGAGGAAAUGCCAAGUGAUGUUUUUUCCAGAGAAAGUAAUUCUCGAUAAAAAAAGUCUUAUGACUUAUUUUCGUAGAGUGUAUGUAGGUGAGCAUUUCGGCGAUUGAAAAGUGCAAUAAUUUUUUCUCAGUCGAGGGGAGAAUAUGAUGCUUAAUCCAACUCUAAUUGGCUCCGAAGGUGAUAAAUAACCGGAAGAAUUUAAAUAGCCAGUACAGAAAUAAUUCAAGGUCGUUGGAGCUACUCUGGUCAUGCGAAUGAGGAUCAUCUGGCCUGAAGUGUUUGUACUGUUCGACAUCCUUCUCGAGGGUCAGCUGUUGCUUCUGGAGGCGAUCCCUCAGGGCUGGUAAGG
Fopius arisanus is the source of this 542-nucleotide long non-coding RNA. RefSeq lists it as uncharacterized. The transcript is spliced from 4 exons. The record is from RefSeq and is a predicted model, not a curated record. Lineage: Eukaryota; Metazoa; Arthropoda; Insecta; Hymenoptera; Braconidae.